This 287-nucleotide small nuclear RNA is filed under the name Octodon degus (degu). RNAcentral's name for it is "7SK RNA (ENSODEG00000024078.1)". It matches the Rfam family "7SK RNA". Rfam says of the family: 7SK was discovered as an abundant small nuclear RNA in the mid-70s but a possible function has only recently been suggested. Lineage: Eukaryota; Metazoa; Chordata; Mammalia; Rodentia; Octodontidae. The record is from RNAcentral.
AGAUGUGAGGGUGAUCUGGCUGUGACAUCUGUCACCCCAUGGGUCACCAGGCUUGAUUUGGCUGAUACGGCUGGCUAGGCAGGUGUCCCUUUCCUACUCAAGGCUCCAUGUGUGUGCCCCUACUGAGGCUGCGUACUCGAAAAGGAUGACCAUCCCCGAUAGAGGAGGACCAUUCCUUGAUCAAGGGUAUAUGAGUAGCUGCACGCCCCUGCUAAAAUCUCUAAACAAGACAAAAGAUGGGAGCUUGGGCUAUAACCCCAAUGGCCUGAGGGUCAAGUGCUUUUUGG